AACGAACGCUGGCGGCGCGUCUUAAGCAUGCAAGUCGAACGGCAGCAAAAAGCUUGCUUUUUUGUGAGAGUGGCGAACUGGUGAGUAACACGUGGGUGACAUACCCUUCAGUUGGGGAUAGCUAUUAGAAAUAGUAGAUAAUACCGAAUACGACCGUAGAUGUUAGAGAUUUACGAGGAAAGGAGCUAAGGCUUCGCUAAAGGAUUGGUCCGCGGCCCAUUAGCUAGUUGGUGUGGUAACGGCAUACCAAGGCGAUGAUGGGUAUCCGGCCUGAGAGGGUGAUCGGACACAUUGGGACUGAGAUACGGCCCAG
RNAcentral lists this ribosomal RNA (313 nucleotides) under uncultured bacterium. Its description in RNAcentral is "bacterial SSU rRNA". It matches the Rfam family "Bacterial small subunit ribosomal RNA", at positions 29 to 334 of the family's 1533-position model. The record is from RNAcentral.